CUACAAAGAGCCACUUCUCUCUCCCUCUCUGUGCAACUCGCACGCUCCUUCAUACUUAUAAUCUCACGCCACUAUAUAUUGGCAAAUCUCCUUACUCUCACUGUCCCUCUCUCUCUCUCUCUCUAGGUUUUCAAAUUCCUUUAGCUACUAGAGAGAGAGUUUUCAGCUGAUUCAAAAAAGUAGAUUCAGAUCCUCUACUUUCGAACCAGAUCAUAACUCGGAUCCGAUCCCCCUCAAAAACUCGCGGAUUUUUCAACCAGAGAUCCGUAAUUUUUUGAAUAAUUUUCCAUUUUUAUUUCAAGGGAAACUUCUCUCUCUCUAUAUAUAUCUUUUAAGCUCUUUAUUAUGUUUUGAUUUGUCAGCUUUAUGAGCCUAGUAGAUUAAAAGGUAAGAUGUCAAUUUGUUUAUGAUUAUGUAGGGAUGUGCUUGAUUGAUUUGGUUUCCUUUCUUGCAUCCUUAGACAGACAUCCUGUUUUGUAGCUGAGGUAACCCAGAAAAUAUGAGGAAACAAGAAUCAAAAUUUUGCGUAUAUCCAUGCUUGUCUUUGUCUCUCUGCAUACAUCAAUCUAAUUUGAAGAUAAUGCAGCUCAAUUGUGCUAGUUAGUGUUAUUAAUUUUCUCAAGCUAAUGCUGAUUUUAGUUUUUAAAGUAAAUUUUCCCACACCACCAAAAGAAAACCUUCAAAUUUGAAUUCCCAGCACUGCGUUUGAACUGUUCACGACAUUUCAAUUUGAUGAUCAUUAGAGAACAUCUGGUAUCGUUUGGAAAUCUUUUAUUGUUGAGGAAAAUGUUGAUUCUAGCGUCAAAUGAACAAUUCAUGAAGAGGAAAAAAAGAAGAAGGAAGGAUUAGUGUCCUUUUUUCAUACAGAAUAGGCCAUACUUGAAUCCAUUAACUUAUUUUAUACUGAUUUCAUAAAAAUUUGGGGUGUAAAUUUGAUCAUAACAGUUGGUUUUCGUGAUGUUGUUGGCAGCUACUUCCUUAAUUAGAGAUCUGGCUUUGAAGGUCAGACUGGUCUAUUUAGAUGACAUGCAAUACCUGCAUAAGGAGUGUGAUUGCUCAAGGCGGAAUAUUUUCCAAAGCAAGGUCUCAGUUGAGCAAUAUCAGGAGGGAUUUACAUGCGGGUCUCCACCUAGGUUAUCCAUUAAAACUUAAGUUGGCAAUAAAUCUAAGUAUGAUGGUCGAUUCAGGCUCAACAGCAAAACGAGGACCUGUUGUUGAUGUGCUCGCAGAGAAAGAUGAUGAUGGCGGAUGUGUUAGUGGAGAGUGGAAAAGUGAAGACGGCAAACUGAGCUGCGGGUAUUCAAGUUUCAGGGGAAAGAGAGCAACCAUGGAGGAUUUUUAUGAUAUUAAACAUACUAAGAUUGAUGGGCAAACAGUCUGCAUGUUUGGAAUCUUUGAUGGUUUGAUGCCCUGAUCUCUUUGAAUGAACUUUACCAAUUUAUAUGUGUUAUGAAUGACUAUCUAUUUUUGACUCGAGGUAGAAGGUACAUUACCUGGUGAUAGAGCAAAAACUGAUGUAUUAGAAUAAUUAGUGUGUUAAUGUUUAACAAUCUUUAGAUGGUAACUAUGAUGUGUGCAAGGGAUGUAUAAACAUGUGGAACCUAUUUAUUCAUUUCUUUAAAAUACAGUUGUAGCCAUUAAUCACUUACAGCUAGGAAGUUGCAUAAACAGACAGUAGACAAAUUGAUUGGUAUCUAACCUGCUGUGUGAUUUAUUUAAGGAAAGGAAUAUAUAAGUGCUUCUCAAAAAAUGGUGUAACUGUUGGAGCAGUCUACAUGAUCUAAUCAUUUUGCCAUUUCAGCUUUGGAUAAGUUGAACUAAUAUCUUCAUGCUUUUCUUUUAUAGCCAGGACUGUUUUUAUAAGAGUAAAGCAUUAUGUUUUCUUUCUUUCUCUUUCUUCUUCUUCAUCUUUACAAUUGUGUAUGUGAGUGUGUAGAAUGGUUUCAUUUUAACUACUUUGAUGCAUCAUUCUAGGUCAUGGUGGUUCCCGUGCUGCUGAGUAUUUGAAGGAGCACCUAUUUGAUAAUCUGAUGAAGCGUCCACAAUUCAUGGAAAAUCCCAAAUUGGCAAUAAGUGAAACAUAUCAACAGACUGAUGUGGACUUUUUGGACUCUGAAAAGGAUACAUAUCGUGAUGAUGGUUCUACUGCUUCAACAGCAGUAUUAGUUGGUAACCAUCUAUAUGUUGCCAAUGUUGGAGAUUCUCGAACUGUGAUAUCAAAAGCUGGAAAAGCAAUUCCUCUCUCUGAAGAUCAUAAACCAAACAGAAGUGAUGAAAGGAAGAGAAUUGAAAGUGCUGGGGGAGUAGUAAUGUGGGCAGGUAAACAUUUUUUAAAUUUGGUUUUUGUUUCUAUCUUCUUCUUUGGGCUAUGAUUUUACUUUUCAAGCAUCAGACUGAGCUGCAAGUGGUGAUUAACCGUUCAGUGGAUCUGACUUUUGAUGUAGACAUUUUGGAAUAGUACUCUGUAAAAGGAAGAGAUUUGACACUUAAAAAGAUGAAAGCCUUUGCAAUCUGGAUGUCAGGGACAAUCUAAUUGGGUUAAAUUUUGGCAUGAUUUUUAUUGGAUGAGUCCAAAUGAUAGGUGGGGUGUCCUCUACAUGAAUAAGUUCUCUUAUUGCCAAGUUAUCUUAUGUCCUAGGCUCCUAGCUGACGAUUAUAAAUGCUUUCAACAAUCUAAUCAUUUGGGCAAGGGUUUGAGACAAUAUAAGUGUGAUCUUGAGUGUUGUAUUGUAACUAGAGCAAAUAUGAAUUUGCGAUGUGCAUCUCUCAUCCAGAGAUUCUCAACCAAUCAACUGCAAACCUGAAUAAGUCAAGAAACCUGCUAUUCAUUGUAUAAGCUGCUUGAUCAACAGAUAUAACAGAAUGCUGUCUAGCCUGAUCCAAUGAUUCCAAACAAUUCCAACUACAAAGGAACAAAUUACCUUUUUCUCUCACCGUGUUCAUCCUUGCAUGGAUUUUCAGCAGCAGCCUCAGUUUACAUAUCAGAUAAUAUUCAUCCAUUUGUAGAGGACUAUUGUACUUUAUUUUUUCUUUUAGCUACAUUAUUCGAUUUAGGAUAAUUUUGAAUAAGUUGUUCAUAAAAGUCAAAUCAUGCAUACUGCCUUAAUUGUAUUGUCAGGCACCUGGAGGGUAGGAGGUGUAUUAGCUAUGUCACGUGCUUUUGGUAACCGCAUGUUGAAGCAAUUUGUUGUAGCAGAACCUGAGAUACAGGUAAUAUUUGAUAUUUUAUCUUUGAAUAGCGCAAAUCUCCCAUUAUAUUAAUUUUUAACAAUGAAUGUUUGAUGUUGUAAUAAAAAAUUUUCUGCUUUGGGCAUCGAGCAUUUGAUAUUAAUGAGGAAUGUGUACAGUGAGAGAAUCAUGUCAACAAAUGGUGGAAAAUCUGUUGAUUUUGUGUUUUUGUUGUAGGAAAAUGUUAUGAUUGCAAAAUAAUCUUCUAAACUGUCAAUAUUUGAGUGGAAAGGAUGGUAUUUAAAUUAAAAGUUACCUUGGCUAGUUUUUGUUAAACAUUUAAUUAUAUAUUGGAGUUAGUUUUUCUGCAGCACUGAAAAUUCAAAAACAAAAAGGAAAAGCAAACCCUAAAACGAUUGAAGCCCCUCCUAUUGCACAAGUAUUAGACUCUGACAUUGGCAGCCAUUUAAAAUAAAAAAUUUUCCUUGUGCCUGUCUACAAGGCUCAGAAUCAAUUCUACAUGUGCUACAGUUCAAGGGGUGGGGAACGCCUGCCUUUGCUGCUUAGAAAAAGCACUGGCAUCCCAAAAAUUAGUCGACGUAACAUCCCCUCUUGUUUCCUAUUAUACUUUCAUGACACUGUUGGUAUUUGUAGCAGCUUCUUGAAGGAAUUCUGGAUAUGAUAGCUUUAUUUAUGUGUCUUGCGGAAGCUCAUUCUAGGAUGUAACAUAAAAGGUUCCUUGCUUAUCAUAGGUCUAAUUGUAUGUCAUUUUGCUAAUUGCAAUUCACCAGGCAUAGAUCAGCAAAAUUAUGUUCUUUCUUCCUUUCAGGAUCUGAAAAUAGAUGAAGAAUUUGAAUU
This 4026-nucleotide unclassified non-coding RNA is filed under the name Hevea brasiliensis (rubber tree). Lineage: Eukaryota; Viridiplantae; Streptophyta; Magnoliopsida; Malpighiales; Euphorbiaceae. The record is from RNAcentral.